RNAcentral lists this ribosomal RNA (467 nucleotides) under uncultured bacterium. RNAcentral describes it as "bacterial SSU rRNA". It matches the Rfam family "Bacterial small subunit ribosomal RNA", at positions 329 to 795 of the family's 1533-position model. The record is from RNAcentral.
GACCAGACUCCUACGGGAGGCAGCAGUGGGGAAUAUUGCACAAUGGGGGAAACCCUGAUGCAGCGACGCCGCGUGGGCGAGGAAGUACCUCGGUAUGUAAAGCUCUAUCAGCAGGGAAGAAAUAGCGACCUUUGGGUCGCCAGACGGUACCUGACUAAGAAGCCCCGGCUAACUACGUGCCAGCAGCCGCGGUAAUACGUAGGGGGCAAGCGUUAUCCGGAUUUACUGGGUGUAAAGGGAGCGUAGACGGCAGCACAAGUCUGAAGUGAAAUGCCGGGGCUUAACCCCGGAACUGCUUUGGAAACUGUGCAGCUAGAGUGCAGGAGAGGUAAGCGGAAUUCCUAGUGUAGCGGUGAAAUGCGUAGAUAUUAGGAGGAACACCAGUGGCGAAGGCGGCCUGCUGGACGAUGACUGACGUUGAGGCUCGAAAGCGUGGGGAGCAAACAGGAUUAGAUACCCCAGUAGAA